UAGGGAAUCUUCGGCAAUGGACGAAAGUCUGACCGAGCAACGCCGCGCGAGUGAAGAAGGUUUUCGGAUCGUAAAACUCUGUUGUUAGAGAAGAACAAGGACGUUAGUAACUGAACGUCCCCUGACGGUAUCUAACCAGAAAGCCACGGCUAACUACGUGCCAGCAGCCGCGGUAAUACGUAGGUGGCAAGCGUUGUCCGGAUUUAUUGGGCGUAAAGCGAGCGCAGGCGGUUUCUUAAGUCUGAUGUGAAAGCCCCCGGCUCAACCGGGGAGGGUCAUUGGAACCUGGGAGACUUGAGUGCAGAAUAGGAGGGUGGAAUUCCAUGUGUAGCUGUGAAAUGCGUAGAUAUAUGGAGGAACACCAGUGGCGAAGGCGGCUCUCUGGUCUGUAACUGACGCUGAGGCUCGAAAGCGUGGGGAGCAAACAGG
Molecule: ribosomal RNA, 429 nt
Filed under: Gemmatimonadota bacterium
Lineage: Bacteria; Pseudomonadati; Gemmatimonadota
Description: Gemmatimonadetes bacterium partial 16S ribosomal RNA
Rfam family: Bacterial small subunit ribosomal RNA
Source: RNAcentral